UUAAUUUAUUUGUUUGUAUGACUCAGAAGAUUCAAGUAAAAACAAGAGUUUGAGGCCUCCGGCGGGCGCCUGGAUCCGGGCACAGAGGCACCGGGGCGAUCCCGCCGAAGCAACAAGAGGUAUGUUCACAGGGGUUUGGGAGUUGUAAACUCGGUAAUGAUCCCUCCGCAGGUUCACCUACGGAAA
RNAcentral lists this unclassified non-coding RNA (186 nucleotides) under uncultured fungus. RNAcentral's name for it is "sequence contains ITS1". Lineage: Eukaryota; Fungi. The record is from RNAcentral.